AUUUAACACCCUGCGCUAGGGAUGGUAGUGGAAAUCCUUUUUGUGAGGUACGAUCAAAAAGAUUGUAGCGAACAGCCCGCCUGAGC
RNAcentral lists this small RNA (86 nucleotides) under Gelidibacter sediminis. RNAcentral's name for it is "Flavo-1 RNA". It matches the Rfam family "Flavo-1 RNA". The record is from RNAcentral. Lineage: Bacteria; Pseudomonadati; Bacteroidota; Flavobacteriia; Flavobacteriales; Flavobacteriaceae.